RNAcentral lists this ribosomal RNA (486 nucleotides) under uncultured bacterium. RNAcentral describes it as "partial 16S ribosomal RNA". It matches the Rfam family "Bacterial small subunit ribosomal RNA", at positions 30 to 507 of the family's 1533-position model. The record is from RNAcentral.
AUUGAACGCUGGCGGCAUGCCUUACACAUGCAAGUCGAACGGCAGCACGGGUGCUUGCCCCUGGUGGCGAGUGGCGAACGGGUGAGUAAUACAUCGGAACAUGUCCUGUAGUGGGGGAUAGCCCGGCGAAAGCCGGAUCAAUACCGCAUACGAUCCACGGAUGAAAGCGGGGGACCUUCGGGCCUCGCGCUAUAGGGUUGGCCGAUGGCUGAUUAGCUAGUUGGUGGGGUAAAGGCCUACCAAGGCGACGAUCAGUAGCUGGUCUGAGAGGACGACCAGCCACACUGGGACUGAGACACGGCCCAGACUCCUACGGGAGGCAGCAGUGGGGAAUUUUGGACAAUGGGCGAAAGCCUGAUCCAGCAAUGCCGCGUGUGUGAAGAAGGCCUUCGGGUUGUAAAGCACUUUUGUCCGGAAAGAAAUCCUUGACUCUAAUACAGUCGGGGGAUGACGGUACCGGAAGAAUAAGCACCGGCUAACUACGUG